This 468-nucleotide ribosomal RNA is filed under the name uncultured bacterium. Its description in RNAcentral is "bacterial SSU rRNA". It matches the Rfam family "Bacterial small subunit ribosomal RNA", at positions 20 to 507 of the family's 1533-position model. The record is from RNAcentral.
UGGCUCAGGACGAACGCUGGCGGUGUGCCUCACACAUGCAAGUCGAGCGGAUGUUUAUUAGAAGCUUGCUUUUGAUAAACGUUAGCGGCGGACGGGUGAGUAAUACGUAGGAAUCUGCCUCAAGGAGGGGGACAACGGGUCGAAAGAUCCGCUAAAUACCCCAUAUGCGAGCAAUCGUGAAAGGAGUAAUCCACCUAGAGAUGAGCCUGCGCCCGAUUAGCUAGUUGGCGGGGUAAAAGCCCACCAAGGCGACGAUCGGUAGUUGGUCUGAGAGGAUGAUCAGCCACAAUGGGACUGAGACACGGCCCAUACUCCUACGGGAGGCAGCAGUGGGGAAUUUUACGCAAUGGGGGAAACCCUGACGUAGCGACACCGCGUGAGCGAAGAAGCCUUUUGGGGNGUAAAGCUCUGUCAGCUGGAACGAACACAAUGACGGUACCAGCAGAGGAAGCAUCGGCUAACUACGUG